This 253-nucleotide ribosomal RNA is filed under the name uncultured bacterium. RNAcentral describes it as "partial 16S ribosomal RNA". It matches the Rfam family "Bacterial small subunit ribosomal RNA", at positions 524 to 776 of the family's 1533-position model. The record is from RNAcentral.
UACGAAGGGGGCUAGCGUUUUUCGGAUUUACUGGGCGUAAAGCGCAUGUAGGCGGGUCGUUAAGUUGGGGGUGAAAUCCCGAGGCUCAACCUCGGAACUGCCUUCAAAACAGGCGCCCUGGAGCAGGAGAGAGGCAAGUGGAAUUGCGAGUGUAGAGGUGAAAUUCGUAGAUAUUCGCAGGAACACCAGUGGCGAAGGCGACUUGCUGGAUCUUUGCUGACGCUGAGAUGCGAAAGCGUGGGGAGCAAACAGG